AGCAGUCGCCGCGGUAAUACGAAGGGUGCAAGCGUUAAUCGGAAUUACUGGGCGUAAAGCGUGCGUAGGCGGUGAGUUAAGUCUGCUGUGAAAUCCCCGGGCUCAACCUGGGAAUGGCAGUGGAUACUGGCUCACUAGAGUGUGUCAGAGGAUGGUGGAAUUCCCGGUGUAGCGGUGAAAUGCGUAGAGAUCGGGAGGAACAUCAGUGGCGAAGGCGGCCAUCUGGGACAACACUGACGCUGAGGCACGAAAGCGUGGGGAGCAAACAGGAUUAGAUACCCGUGUAGUCCCUGUCUCUUAUAC
RNAcentral lists this ribosomal RNA (303 nucleotides) under uncultured bacterium. Its description in RNAcentral is "partial 16S ribosomal RNA". It matches the Rfam family "Bacterial small subunit ribosomal RNA", at positions 507 to 807 of the family's 1533-position model. The record is from RNAcentral.